AAGAAGGUGACAGAGUGGUUAUGUGAGUGGCUUGAAACCACUACACGGGGGUUCAAUUCCCUCCUUUCUCG
This 71-nucleotide transfer RNA is filed under the name Raiamas senegalensis (Senegal minnow). RNAcentral describes it as "tRNA-Ser". It matches the Rfam family "tRNA". Rfam says of the family: Transfer RNA (tRNA) molecules are approximately 80 nucleotides in length. Their secondary structure includes four short double-helical elements and three loops (D, anti-codon, and T loops). Lineage: Eukaryota; Metazoa; Chordata; Actinopteri; Cypriniformes; Danionidae. The record is from RNAcentral.